CAACCCCUCAAGCUCAGCUUGGUGUUGGGGCCUGCCGCACUGGCAGCCCUUAAAAUCAGUGGCGGUGCCAUCUGGCUCUAAGCGUAGUAACUUUUCUCGCUACAGGGUCCAGGUGAGUGCUUGCCAUCAACCCAAUAUUUUCUAUGG
RNAcentral lists this unclassified non-coding RNA (147 nucleotides) under uncultured Helotiales. Its description in RNAcentral is "sequence contains ITS2". The record is from RNAcentral. Lineage: Eukaryota; Fungi; Ascomycota; Leotiomycetes; Helotiales.